RNAcentral lists this ribosomal RNA (490 nucleotides) under uncultured bacterium. Its description in RNAcentral is "partial 16S ribosomal RNA". It matches the Rfam family "Bacterial small subunit ribosomal RNA", at positions 30 to 507 of the family's 1533-position model. The record is from RNAcentral.
AUUGAACGCUGGCGGCAGGCCUAACACAUGCAAGUCGAACGGUAACAGGAAACAGCUUGCUGUUUCGCUGACGAGUGGCGGACGGGUGAGUAAUGUCUGGGAAACUGCCUGAUGGAGGGGGAUAACUACUGGAAACGGUAGCUAAUACCGCAUAACGUCGCAAGACCAAAGAGGGGGACCUUCGGGCCUCUUGCCAUCGGAUGUGCCCAGAUGGGAUUAGCUAGUAGGUGGGGUAACGGCUCACCUAGGCGACGAUCCCUAGCUGGUCUGAGAGGAUGACCAGCCGAACUGGAACUGAGACACGGUCCAGACUCCUACGGGAGGCAGCAGUGGGGAAUAUUGCACAAUGGGCGCAAGCCUGAUGCAGCCAUGCCGCGUGUAUGAAGAAGGCCUUCGGGUUGUAAAGUACUUUCAGCGGGGAUGAAGGGAGUAAAGUUAAUACCUUUGCUCAUUGACGUUACCCGCAGAAGAAGCACCGGCUAACUCCGUG